Manihot esculenta (cassava) is the source of this 1125-nucleotide RNA transcript. It is a transcript of the gene named ubiquitin-conjugating enzyme E2 28, with no coding region annotated. Lineage: Eukaryota; Viridiplantae; Streptophyta; Magnoliopsida; Malpighiales; Euphorbiaceae. The transcript has 5 exons. The record is from RefSeq and is a predicted model, not a curated record.
AAUGAAAAAAAGCAAACCCUCUGGCCUCCGCGGCUCAUUUUCUGCAAAAAAGAGGGAAGAAAGGUGCGAGAUCAGUCAGGGAGUGGGAAAUCAGCGGUUCUCGAACUGAAAGUGAGGGGCGUGGCUGUGGAUCUGCUUCAAAGCCGUUUCCCCUUUUUACCUCACUCGUCGCCGUCCGAUAGCAUUUCCCCUUCAAAACCAGAGUUUUUCAUAGUCAGGUCCCUGGUUGAACCAUCAUGGCUUCCAAGCGUAUUUUGAAGGAACUUAAGGAUUUGCAGAAAGAUCCACCUACUUCUUGCAGUGCAGGUCCUGUAGCUGAAGACAUGUUCCACUGGCAGGCAACAAUUAUGGGACCAUCUGAUAGCCCAUAUGCUGGAGGUGUAUUUCUAGUUACUAUCCAUUUUCCACCUGAUUAUCCAUUCAAGCCUCCAAAGGUUGCGUUCAGGACAAAGGUCUUUCACCCAAACAUAAACAGUAAUGGAAGCAUUUGUCUUGAUAUCCUCAAAGAACAGUGGAGCCCUGCUCUUACCAUUUCUAAGGUUUGAUUUAGAUCCAUGACUUUAGGCUGGUAAUUGUACAGCUUUGUAAGCGAGUAUCAAUGGUAAAUCAACAAUGGAAAAGGAAAAGGAGAACUGUCAUCAUAUAAAUUUCAAGCUAAUAUCAUGGCAAUAGUUUAAUAAUAUGAUGAAACUUAUAUGCCAAAUUUAGUGUGAUUGGUUUUGGGUAUUAGCCUGCAAAGCAUUAGUGUUACCUUAAAGUUUUUUUGUGAAUUAUUUUGCCUUGGAGUUGGUUUUUUUCCCUCCCUGCAAUUAUGAUAUGGUUAAGAGCUCAGACCUCAGGAUAUGAAAAUAUGAUUGCACGAGUUAUAAUCUUUCUCUUCUCUUCUUGAUAUGUGUCAAUUUCUCAAAAAAUUUGAAUGCCAUUGUGCUGAUACUGAAAUGGGAUUCUAGCUUUGAACUUCUGAAAUUUUCUUCUUGAUAAUUUUCACUUCCAUGCAGCUGAGGAAAUUAGGAAUUAUUACUACCAAUGUAACCAUACAUGCCUUGUCAGGUACUGCUCUCCAUUUGCUCAUUGCUGACUGAUCCAAAUCCUGAUGACCCGCUUGUACCGGAGAUUGCCCAUAUG